GCCGCUCUCUGGCUCUCUUCUCUGAGUUCUCUCCACUAAAUGUCUAAAUCUAACCCAAAACAGUGAACAUUAAACUUUCUCAAUCUUUUGAUUCUCUUUCUCACUCUCACGGCUAAAAGACGCCCCUUCCCCUCACCGGCUCACCCCCUGUCCCCUCUCGCCCCCUCGCCUCUCCUCUCCACUCUCCUUAGACCGACCACCGGCGACCGACGUUUCCUCAACGGCUCAACCUCUCAAAAGUCAAAACCAGUGAGUUUUAGUUUUAGUCCUUUCUGAUUCCAACCCAGAUCGUAGUUUCUCUUGUUCUAUCAUGGGUCUGUGCUUAUCUGUCGAAUCUACAUCUUUCUGAGCAAUGGGGGUUGCUAGGUUUGACUGUUUUAUGGGGGGGGUUUAAACGUAUGGAUUGAUUAGUAUAAAUGUUAAAGUUGUGAACCUUGUUAUGCUGGUUUAUGGAUGGUUUAAUUAUUAGUAUGAAUGUUAAAGUUCUGAGCUUUUAUUACUCAGUAAUAAUUGAGUGAUUUAACGAUUAAUCAUGGUUGCUAUUUUAUCUGUUAUACUCUUUGUUUUUUCUGGUUUAUGUUCCUGAUUUAUUCUUUGUUUCUUGAUGGAUUGAUUGAUAUGUGGAAUGGAUCACUAUAGUUCUAUAAUGAGCUUAGUUGCGGAACAGGAAAUGAAAUGCAUUCUGGGUACAGCUGAGAGCAGAGGUUCUUUCUUUCUUUUUUUUGUGGGUGUGGGGCGGGGGGGUGCAAACUGAUAGAUUUUAUUUUUUAAAUUAUAGGAAAUUUAAUAGUUCGACUGAUAGGAAGCUUGAUUAUUAACUUUAUGUUUUAAGUUAGUUAGCAUUCAUUAGAUAUUCGGGAAAGAGAGUAAGUAAUCUAGACGAAAUUCAUGACAGCAUGGGUUUUUUUUCUUCCUUUCAUAUUUUGUGAUUUUUCGAUUGCUGUCCUGUCAAGUAGGAAAUUCAUAAUUAUAAUAGAGAAUUUUUUUGGGGAAUUUAUGAUUUGUGGUGUUGAUAGCUGAUAAAGUCCCCCCACCCCUACCAAGCCGAGCUGCUUAGUUUUGGUGAGAGUAUUUCAAACAUUUGACAAUUGUGUGCUAUUAUCUCCUUCAGCGAUGAAUUUAUUGAACCUGUAUGGACUAUGGAAGGAUUUACAUAUUUAUUACUUCUUUAACCUGAACCCCACUUAGCAACAGUAGGAUAAUCAAAGGCUGUUUGUUUUACAGAUGCAUAUAUUUAUCCAUGUGGAGAAUCAACUCUUAUGCAUAAUGUCUUAUGCAUUAGGGAUUUUCCUUUGCAUUGUUGUUUUCCUUUAGCACAGGUGGUCGUAUACUCGACCAAUUUCGAAGUUCUCUAUCUCCAGCAACAGUUCAAGCACUUAUUUGUUCUCUAUCUCCAGAAACCUACGAAAACCUUGAAUCAGGUAACGUUUUUUAAAAACUUACACAUUUUAUUUUAUUUAUUAAUUAACACAUUUUUAUUCUAACAUGUUUAAUAUUUUAUUUUGUAGAAUUUGGUGGAAAGUUGCAUUUAGCAACGGAUGAUAAUUAGUUCACAAAUUGUGAAUUUGUGAUGCAUGUAUUGAAAAUUAUGGUAUAAAUAUAUAUAUUUUUUUAAUUUUUAUAUCUUCUGAUUUAAUUUAUCAUGUUAUAAUUCUAGAUUAUGAAUUUCAGGAAUCAAAGUGCAAUGCUCUUGAAGUGCUUUUUUAUUGAGAUGAUGUGCACAUGAAGAUUUAUUUUUUGUGGCUUGGAGUGUUUUAUGAUAAUGUUAUUUGUUGUUUUUUUGUUAAGCCCUUUGAAGGCAAUGGUUUGUAUUUUGUAAUUUGGAUUUUAACUUAUUGGUGUGUGAUUGUGAGUGUGUUAUUUAUUUAAACUUUUCGGAAGUAGAAAAAUAUUAGUAAGUUAAAAAUAUAUUGAAC
RNAcentral lists this long non-coding RNA (1916 nucleotides) under Populus tremula. RNAcentral's name for it is "long non-coding RNA (PTRE_LNC000794)". The record is from RNAcentral. Lineage: Eukaryota; Viridiplantae; Streptophyta; Magnoliopsida; Malpighiales; Salicaceae.